GAUGAACGCUGGCGGCGUGCCUAAUACAUGCGAGUCGAGCGAACGGACGAGAAGCUUGCUUUUCUGAUGUUAGCGGCGGACGGGUGAGUAACACGUGGAUAACCUACCUAUAAGACUGGGAUAACUUCGGGAAACCGGAGCUAAUACCGGAUAAUAUUUUGAACCGCAUGGUUCAAAAGUGAAAGACGGUCUUGCUGUCACUUAUAGAUGGAUCCGCGCUGCAUUAGCUAGUUGGUAAGGUAACGGCUUACCAAGGCAACGAUGCAUAGCCGACCUGAGAGGGUGAUCGGCCACACUGGAACUGAGACACGGUCCCGACUCCUACGGGAGGCAGCAGUAGGGAAUCUUCCGCAAUGGGCGAAAGCCUGACGGAGCAACGCCGCGUGAGUGAUGAAGGUCUUCGGAUCGUAAAACUCUGUUAUUAGGGAAGAACAUAUGUGUAAGUAACUGUGCACAUCUUGACGGUACCUAAUCAGAAAGCCACGGCUAACUACGUG
Molecule: ribosomal RNA, 497 nt
Filed under: uncultured bacterium
Lineage: Bacteria
Description: partial 16S ribosomal RNA
Rfam family: Bacterial small subunit ribosomal RNA
Source: RNAcentral